Molecule: ribosomal RNA, 440 nt
Filed under: uncultured bacterium
Lineage: Bacteria
Description: partial 16S ribosomal RNA
Rfam family: Bacterial small subunit ribosomal RNA
Source: RNAcentral
CCUACGGGAGGCAGCAGUGGGGAAUAUUGCACAAUGGGGGAAACCCUGAUGCAGCGACGCCGCGUGAGUGAAGAAGUAAUUCGUUAUGUAAAGCUCUAUCAGCAGGGAAGAAAAUGACGGUACCUGAGUAUGAAGCCCCGGCUAACUACGUGCCAGCAGCCGCGGUAAAACGCAGGGGGCAAGCGUUAUCCGGAUUUACUGGGUGUAAAGGGAGCGUACGCGGCAGUGCAAGUCUGGAGUGAAAGGCCGGGGCUCAACCCCCGGACUGCACUGGAAACUGUCCGGCUGGAGUGCAGGAGAGGUAAGUGGAAUUCGUAGUGUAGCGGUGAAAUGCGUAGAUAUUAGGAGGAACACCAGUGGCGAAGGCGGCUUACUGGACUGUAACUGACGUUGAGGCUCGAAAGCGUGGGGAGCAAACAGGAUUAGAUACCCUAGUAGUC